This 440-nucleotide ribosomal RNA is filed under the name uncultured bacterium. Its description in RNAcentral is "partial 16S ribosomal RNA". It matches the Rfam family "Bacterial small subunit ribosomal RNA", at positions 338 to 795 of the family's 1533-position model. The record is from RNAcentral.
CCUACGGGAGGCUGCCGUAGGGAAUAUUGCUCAAUGGGGGAAACCCUGACGCAGCAACGUCGCGUGGAGGCUGAAGGUUUUAGGAUUGUAAACUCCUUUUGUUAGAGAAGUUUAUGACGGUAUCUAACGCAUAUGCACCGGCUAACUUCGUGCCAGCAGCCGCGGUAAUACGGAGGGUGCUAGCGUUACUCGGAAUCACGGGGCGUAAAGAGUGCUUAGGCGGGGUAAUAAGUCAGAUGUGAAGUCCUGUAGCUUAACUGCAGAACUGCAUUUGACACUGUUACUUUUGAGUGUAGGAGAGGUAGGUGGAAUUCUUGGUGUAGGGGUAAAAUCCGUAGAGAUCAAGAGGAAUACUGAUUGCGAAGGCGACCUGCUAAAACAUUACUGACGCUGAUGCACGAAAGCGUGGGGAGCAAACAGGAUUAGAUACCCGAGUAGUC